CACGUAGGGGGCAAGCGUUGUCCGGAUUUACUGGGCGUAAAGGGCGCGUAGGCGGGAUGGCAAGUCGGUCGUGAAAUCCUUCGGCUCAACCGAAGAACGUCGGCCGAUACUGCCGUUCUUGAGGGAUGCAGAGGAGAUUGGAAUUCCCGGUGUAGCGGUGAAAUGUGUAGAGAUCGGGAGGAACACCGGUGGCGAAGGCGGGUCUCUGGGCAUCUCCUGACGCUGAGGCGCGAAAGCGUGGGGAGCAAACGGG
Molecule: ribosomal RNA, 253 nt
Filed under: uncultured bacterium
Lineage: Bacteria
Description: partial 16S ribosomal RNA
Rfam family: Bacterial small subunit ribosomal RNA
Source: RNAcentral